This 466-nucleotide ribosomal RNA is filed under the name uncultured bacterium. RNAcentral's name for it is "bacterial SSU rRNA". It matches the Rfam family "Bacterial small subunit ribosomal RNA", at positions 9 to 452 of the family's 1533-position model. The record is from RNAcentral.
GAGUUUGAUCAUGGCUCAGGACGAACGCUGGCGGCGUGCCUAAUACAUGCAAGUCGAACGCUUUUUUCAAUCAUCGUAGCUUGCUACACCGAUUGAAAAUUGAGUGGCGAACGGGUGAGUAACACGUGGGUAACCUGCCCAAAAGAGGGGGAUAACACUUGGAAACAGGUGCUAAUACCGCAUAACCAUGAUGACCGCAUGGUCAUUAUGUAAAAGAUGGUUUCGGCUAUCACUUUUGGAUGGACCCCGCGGCGUAUUAACUUGUUGGUGGGGUAACGGCCUACCAAGGUGAUGAUACGUAGCCGAACUGAGAGGUUGAUCGGCCACAUUGGGACUGGGACACGGCCCAAACUCCUACGGGAGGCAGCAGUAGGGAAUCUUCCACAAUGGGCGCAAGCCUGAUGGAGCAACGCCGCGUGAAGGAGAAGGCUUUCGGGUGUAAACUUCUUUUGUCAGGGAAGAGUAG